GACGAACGCUGGCGGCGUGCUUAACACAUGCAAGUCGAACGAAGAGCGAUGGAAGCUUGCUUCUAUCAAUCUUAGUGGCGAACGGGUGAGUAACGCGUAAUCAACCUGCCCUUCAGAGGGGGACAACAGUUGGAAACGACUGCUAAUACCGCAUACGAUCUAAUCUCGGCAUCGAGGAUAGAUGAAAGGUGGCCUCUACAUGUAAGCUAUCACUGAAGGAGGGGAUUGCGUCUGAUUAGCUAGUUGGAGGGGUAACGGCCCACCAAGGCGAUGAUCAGUAGCCGGUCUGAGAAGAUGAACGGCCACAAUUGGACUGAGACACGGCCCAGACUCCUACGGGAGGCAGCAGUGGGGGAUCUUCCGCAAUGGACGAAAGUCUGACGGAGCAACGCCGCGUGAGUGAUGACGGCCUUCGGGUUGUAAAGCUCUGUUAAUCGGGACGAAAGGCCUUCUUGCGAAUAGUGAGAAGGAUUGACGGUACCGGAAGAGAAAGCCACGGCUAACUACGUG
RNAcentral lists this ribosomal RNA (510 nucleotides) under uncultured bacterium. RNAcentral's name for it is "partial 16S ribosomal RNA". It matches the Rfam family "Bacterial small subunit ribosomal RNA", at positions 28 to 507 of the family's 1533-position model. The record is from RNAcentral.